UCUAGUGGAAAUAUGUUAUUGCUCUCAUCACAUUUUAAAAUUCUAUCUUAGCAAAAUAUAAUCUCAUAUGUCCAUCUAGUUACGAUUUUACGUGGAUUGUGGUUGCUGGUAAUGCGUGAUACAAUGAUAUCCACGUUACAUGAAAUGACUUGUCUUUGUUAGUGCAAUCUGACUGUAAAAAAAAUAUUUCCCAUUUUGAUUAUUUAGAGGAAUAUCGUGUUCAAGGGUAGAAUAGAAAAAAACAACCAUUUGUUAUCUCAAUAAUCUUUUUUCUCAUUCUUCCCUGCCUAACUCUCUCUCGCGUCCGAUCGUAGUUUUGUGAAGCUCCGGCGUCCGACCGCGCGUCCGAGCGCGUGACGGCGCCGGAGGCGCCUCUCCUCUCCCGUCAUCUUCGUCUGAUCUUUGCUUCGCCAUGGUCAUGUCUCCCUCUUCGUUUUCUUCGCGGCUGUGUGUCGGGAGUCUCGUCGGUCUCGUCUCCGUACGCAAGGAGCUCCGGUCCGGCGCAGUUCUACUCGGUCAUGGAGUCCGGAGGCGGUGGGUGGUGUGGGUUCCAGCGGCAGAGUCGGUUUUUUAGGGUUUUGCAUCCGGCCUUUGUCGUUUGUAGGAUUGGUGGCGCGUGGUGGGGAGCGGUGGUUUGGGCUCCAGAUCCGGUCUGCGGUCGUGUGGCUGCUCCUGUCCGGUUUGUAGCUUGAGCGGUGGUGGUUUGUGGGGUUCUCGGCUCUUCUUGGCGUCUUGAAGCGCUGUGACCUUUUUCAGUCCUCACCUUGGAAGAUUCGGAGGCUUAGUCUAGCUCGGUGCCGUGCUCAGCUGUCGACGCCGGCGUGUGUUGGUGUUAGCAGUGGUGGCGCGUGGAGUGAUGUGGUGAUGCGGUGUCGGUUGGAGUCGUCUAUAACUUCACCGAGGCAUUGUCACAUCCUCUCUUCCAAUUGCUCAUCUCUGCCGUCUUCAGUUUCAGAUCUUCGGAGAAGUUAUGUCGACUUGAUUUCCCCUUGUUUUCAGCUUUUGGUUCAUUGUUCAGUUGUCCCGUUGUCACCGGUUCAGCUUUUAACAGCAGCUUGAUACUUGUACUUCGGUUCUUGGAGUCGGCGUGAGGCGGGGUUUGGUGGUUCCAGCUGGUCAUCUGGUUCCCACUUUCUCCUCGGUGACCCCUCACGGCUUUGCAGCACAUCCCGAUAUAGAGGGUUCAGUUGAAUCCUUGGUAGUGUUGUUUGCUAUCUAAUUGCAGGUUUGGAGCUUGCUCUGUUGCAGAAGAUGUUGCCUUCCCGUACCCGUGUUUUUGCUUGCCGUAAUAGACAGAGGUGAUCGUGUGGUCCUCUUUGUAAUAUGCGGCCUUAGCGUUGUAGUGGAGUUUUCUUCAGGCGAUUGGAUCUUCUGUAAGUUCAUCGGAAACUAGCUACACCGGAAGCGAUGUGAGGAGACCCCGGCAACCGAAGAAAUGAGGUGAAUCUCUCCUCCUCGCGGUUCUCGUUGAAGGCUGGCGAUGCUCAGAAAUGUAGGAUUCUAUUUAGUGGAAUGCGCCGGGGACAUGGGUUGAGCGAAACUAGAUAGGAAAUUUCAGAUUUGGGUAAUUUUGUUCGAACCGGUCUUGUAAUCGAAACUAUUAUUCCCGUUUUCGGGUCGUUAAUUUAAAUUAUAUUAAAAAAAAAAGAGGGUAGAAUAAAAGACAAAGAGAAAUUCAAACGAGUCGACUUUGUAGUUUGUAUUUAUCUGACUAGGAACAAUUAGUGACACAAUGAUGGUGUCGAGUCCGGAUUGAUAUCGAUACAAAUCAAAUCAGUGUUUAAGUAUAAUUCAAAUUACGUUUCAAAUAGUUU
Molecule: long non-coding RNA, 1814 nt
Organism: Raphanus sativus (radish)
Lineage: Eukaryota; Viridiplantae; Streptophyta; Magnoliopsida; Brassicales; Brassicaceae
Exons: 2
Source: RefSeq, a predicted model, not a curated record